AGAGUUAAAUAGUACGUGAAAUUGCUAAAAGGGAAACGAUUGAAAUCAGUGUUGGCUGCAGUAAAUCAGCUAGUCAGAAAUGGCUGGUGCACUUUGCUGUAGCCAGGUCAACAUCAGUUUCGGUUGGGAUAAAUUAGUGUGGGAAGGUGACUCCCUCGGGAGUGUUAUAGCCUGCAUGACUAUCCUGGCUGGGACUGAGGACUGCAGUGCAUGCCUAUGGCUGGCGAACCAGGCACUAUUAGUUUUGUAGCUAGUGGCAGCGUGCUGACUCUAGUUAUAAAACUGGUACUUGUCUGGGUAGCACAAAUGCACUAAGGAUGUUGACGAAAUGGUUUUAAACGACC
RNAcentral lists this ribosomal RNA (344 nucleotides) under uncultured fungus. Its description in RNAcentral is "eukaryotic LSU rRNA". Lineage: Eukaryota; Fungi. The record is from RNAcentral.